RNAcentral lists this non-coding RNA (29 nucleotides) under Mus musculus (house mouse). The record is from RNAcentral. Lineage: Eukaryota; Metazoa; Chordata; Mammalia; Rodentia; Muridae.
UCGGAGAAAGUGGUCCAUGGUGUCGAGAU